CAGUAGCCACGGUAAUACGUAGGGUGCAAGCGUUAAUCGGAAUUACUGGGCGUAAAGCGUGCGCAGGCGGUUAUAUAAGACAGAUGUGAAAUCCCCGGGCUCAACCUGGGAACUGCAUUUGUGACUGUAUAGCUAGAGUACGGCAGAGGGGGAUGAAAUUCCGCGUGUAGCAGUGAAAUGCGUAGAUAUGCGGAGGAACACCGAUGGCGAAGGCAAUCCCCUGGGCCUGUACUGACGCUCAUGCACGAAAGCGUGGGGAGCAAACAGGAUUAGAUACCCCCGUAGUCCCUGUCUCUUAUAC
This 301-nucleotide ribosomal RNA is filed under the name uncultured bacterium. RNAcentral's name for it is "partial 16S ribosomal RNA". It matches the Rfam family "Bacterial small subunit ribosomal RNA", at positions 509 to 807 of the family's 1533-position model. The record is from RNAcentral.